Molecule: ribosomal RNA, 385 nt
Filed under: uncultured eukaryote
Lineage: Eukaryota
Description: SSU rRNA
Rfam family: Eukaryotic small subunit ribosomal RNA
Source: RNAcentral
AGCUCCAAUAGCGUAUAUUAAAGUUGUUGCAGUUAAAAAGCUCGUAGUUGGAUUUCUGACGGGAGAGACCGGUCGGCGCCCUUUGGGCGUGUGCACUGUUGUCUGCUCCCGUCAUCCUUGCGGAGAGCGCGUGUGCCCUUAAUUGGGUGGGCGCGGGAUCCGCAACGUUUACUGUGAAAAAUUAGAGUGUUUAAAGCAGGCGAUCGCUGUGAAUACAUUAGCAUGGAAUAAUAAGAUAGGACUUUGGUACUAUUUUGUUGGUUUGCGCACCAAGGUAAUGAUUAAUAGGGAUAGUUGGGGGUAUUCAUAUUCAAUUGUCAGAGGUGAAAUUCUUGGAUUUAUGGAAGAUGAACUUAUGCGAAAGCAUUUACCAAGGAUGUUUUCA